Molecule: long non-coding RNA, 377 nt
Organism: Labrus mixtus (cuckoo wrasse)
Lineage: Eukaryota; Metazoa; Chordata; Actinopteri; Labriformes; Labridae
Exons: 2
Source: RefSeq, a predicted model, not a curated record
ACCUCUGGUCCCGCAUCCGAAGUAGAAACAGAAACGUUACAGGGGCGAGGCGGGAUCAGUGUAAGACAGCAGAGCCAGGGGAGAGAACAGUGCUUUGUGUGUGCCUGUCUGAGUGUGUGUGUGUGUGUGUGUGUGUGUGUGUCCCCUGCUGUUUGUUGAUGAUGAAUGAGACAGUGAGAGUGGUGAAGGAUACGGUCAGUGCCCUGGAAGAUGACGCCGCCCUUAACCAUCUCUCCCAUGAUACACCCCACUGACCAGAUGUCCACUGGGAACAGAGAACAAACACACACACACACACACACACACACACACACACACACACACACACACACACACACACACACACACACACACACACACACACACACACACACACA